RNAcentral lists this ribosomal RNA (1760 nucleotides) under Plagiostomum sp. SL-2020. Its description in RNAcentral is "SSU rRNA". It matches the Rfam family "Eukaryotic small subunit ribosomal RNA". Lineage: Eukaryota; Metazoa; Platyhelminthes; Prolecithophora; Plagiostomidae. The record is from RNAcentral.
GUCAUAUGCUUGUCUCAAAGAUUAAGCCAUGCAAGUGUAAGUGCACGUCCUGCGUAAGACCGAACCGCGGAUGGCUCAUUAAAUCAGAAAUCAUUUGUCAACCGACAGUUUUCCUACUCGGAUAACUGUAGUAAUUCUAGAGCUAACACGUGCCAAUUAUGUCUUGUUCGUAAGAAUGGGAUGGCUUUGUUAGACUAAAACCAGCCGUGUCCUCGGACAUGUUUGGUUUUGGUGACUCUGGAUAAAGUAUUUAUCGCAUGACCUUCGUGUUGGCGAUACGGUUGGCAGGUGUCUGCCCUAUCAACUAUUGACGGUAGGAUAUUACCCUACCGUGGUUGUGACGGGUAACGGGGAAUCAGCGUUCGGUUCCGGAGAGGGGGCCUGAGAAAUGGCCACCACAUCCAAGGAAGGCAGCAGGCGCGCAACUUAUCCACUCCUGGCUUAUGGAGAUAGUGACAAAAAAUAACCAAUACCACCUUCACGGGUGUGUAUAUGGGAAUGAGAGAAGUUUAAUAACACUUCUCAAGUAUCAACUGGAGGGCAAGCCUGGUGCCAGCAGCCGCGGUAAUUCCAGCUCCAGUAGCGUAUAUUAAAGUUGUUGCAGUUAAAAAGCUCGUGGUUGAUUAUAAGACAAUGCUGAUUAGGUUUGCUUUUUGCUUACUUAAUCAGCUUGUCUUUAUUUGUUGGACCCACUUAGAGUGCACUUUAUUGGGUGCUUUAGGUGACCAACGAGUUUACUUUGAAAAAAUUAGAGUGCUCAAAGCAGGCUUUAGCCUGAAUUCUGUUGCAUGGAAUAAUGAAAUAGGACUUCGGUACUAUUUUGUUGGUUUUUUGUACAGAAGUAAUGAUUAAAAGGGACAGACGGGGGCAUUCGUAUUUCCGGGGGAGGGGUGAAAUCCGUAGAUCCUGGAAAGACGACCAACUGCGAAAGCAUAUGCCAAGAAUGUUUUCAUUAAUCAAGAACGAAAGUCAGAGGUUCGAAAGCGAUUAGAUACCGCUCUAGUUCUGACCAUAAACUAUGCCAGCUAUCCAUUUGGGGGGCAUCUUGUAUGUUCCUUCAAAGCGGAACCAGUGAAAACGUUAAGUUUUCCGGUUCCGGGGGUAGUAUGGUUGCAAAGUUGAAACUUAAAGGAAUUGACGGAAGGGCACCACCAGGAGUGGAGCCUGUUGCUUAAUUUGACUCAACACGGGAAAACUUACCCGGCCCGGACACCUGAUGGAUUGACAGAUUGAUAGCUCUUUCUUGAUUAAGUGGAUGGUGGUGCAUGGCCGUUUUUAGUUGGUGGAGUGAUUUGUCAGGUUUAUUCCGAUAACGAACGAGACUCUAACUUACUAAAUAGCGGGCAGGUAUAUAUUGGCAGGUUUAACUUCUUAGAAGGAUAAGCGGGUUUCAACUCGCAUGAGAAAGAGCUAAAACAGGUCUGUGAUGCCCUUAGAUGUCCGGGGCCGCUAACGCGCUACACUGGCAAGGUCAAUAAGUUAUUUCCGAUGCCGAAAGGCUGAGGGAACCUUAUGAAUCCUUGUCGUGACCGGGAUCGCAGUUUGUAAUUAUCCUGCGUGAACGAGGAAUUCCCAGUAAGUGCAAGUCAUUAGCUUGUGCUGAUUACGUCCCUGCCCUUUGUACACACCGCCCGUCGCUACUACCGAUUGGAUGGUUUAGUGAGGUUAUUGGAUCGGCGUUGAGGAGAUGGUAACAUCUUUGCUUCUGCUGAGAAGAUAAUCAAACUUGGCCAUUUAGAGGAAGUAAAAGUCGUAACAAG